This 428-nucleotide ribosomal RNA is filed under the name uncultured Nitrospirota bacterium. RNAcentral describes it as "bacterial SSU rRNA". It matches the Rfam family "Bacterial small subunit ribosomal RNA", at positions 351 to 796 of the family's 1533-position model. Lineage: Bacteria; Pseudomonadati; Nitrospirota. The record is from RNAcentral.
GCAGUGGGGAAUUUUGCACAAUGGGCGAAAGCCUGAUGCAGCGACGCCGCGUGGAGGAUGAAGGUCUUCGGGUUGUAAACUCCCUUUCUUAGGGAAAAUGAUGAUGGUACCUAAGGAAUAAGCCACGGCUAACUCUGUGCCUGCAGCCGCGGUAAGACAGAGGUGGCGAGCGUUGUUCGGAAUCACUGGGCUUAAAGGGCGAGUAGGCGUCCUGACAAGACAGGUGUGGAAUCUUUUCGCUUAACGAAAAAAUUGCAUUUGAAACUGUCGGGAUUGAGUCAGUGAGGGGAGGGCGGAAUUCCCGGUGUAGCGGUGAAAUGCGUAGAUAUCGGGAGGAAGGCCGGUGGCGAAGGCGGCCCUCUGGCGCUGAACUGACGCUGAGGCGCGAAAGCGUGGGGAGCAAACAGGAUUAGAUACCCCAGUAGUCC